Molecule: RNA transcript, 1480 nt
Organism: Corticium candelabrum
Lineage: Eukaryota; Metazoa; Porifera; Homoscleromorpha; Homosclerophorida; Plakinidae
Gene name: betaine--homocysteine S-methyltransferase 1-like
Exons: 8
Source: RefSeq, a predicted model, not a curated record
UCUACAAAAUCAGGAAUAGCGAAACAAGUUUAACCGGUCACGUGUCGGGGCGUGUGCCAAGAUUUCAUUGUUGCGUUCCUUUGUGUUGGCCCACGGUUCGUCUCUGUCGUAAUGUCGGGAAAGGUGGAAAUCAGUCGUCCCAGAAAUAUAAUGGACAGACUGGCUUCUGGCGUUGUUAUUGGCGAUGGUGGCUAUGUCUUUGCACUUGAGAAGCGUGGCUAUGUCCGGGCUGGAGCCUGGACGCCUGAAUCCACAGUAAAACAUCCAGAGGCAGUGAGGCAGCUACACAGAGAGUUCCUACGUUCUGGCUCUGAUGUCAUACAGGCUUUCACAUUUUAUGCCAGUGAAGACAAGCUGGAGAACAGAGGCAAUGAUGCUGCACAAACAAUAGGGGUGCAUGAAAUCAAUAAAGCUGCCUGUGACUUGGCUAAAGAAGUAGCUGCAGAAGGCGAUGCAUUAGUACUUGGUGGUCUCUCUCAGACUCCAACAUAUCUGAGUGGCUUGGGAAAAGAAGCAGUACAGCAGGAGUUCCAGAAACAAAUAGAUGUAUUUGUAGAGAAUGACUUGGAUUUUAUCUUGGGAGAGUACUUUGAACACGUGGAAGAAGCAGAGUGGGCAGUAGAAGUGAUAAAGAAGUGUGGCAAACCAGUAGGUAUAACCUUAUGCAUUGGCCCUGAGGGAGACUUACAUGGUAUACCUGCUGGUGAGUGUGCGGUACGGCUAGCUAAAGCCGGUGCUGACAUGGUUGGUGUCAACUGUCAUUUUGGGCCAACCGUUUCUCUUGAAACAAUGCGAAUUAUGAAAGCUGCACUGGAGAAAGCAAGUCUAAGCCCCUAUCUUAUUGUUCAACCUCUUGGGUAUGUCACACCGGACGCUAGCAGACAAGGAUUUAUUGACUUGCCUGAAUUUCCAUAUGCUCUUGAACCUCGAGUUAUAACACGCUGGGAAGCUCAGACAUUUGCUCGUGAAGCUUAUAAUAUGGGCAUCAAGUUCAUUGGUGGUUGCUGCGGCUUUGAAGCCUACCACAUUAGAGCAGUAGCUGAAGAAUUGUCGAAAGAGAGGGGUCAUCCUCCUCCUAUUGGUGAGGAAUAUGGCACAUGGGUUGAUGGUUUAAAGCUACAUACCAAGCCUUGGGUACGGGCAAGGUGAGGAAGAUGUUCAUGACACCUACUUCUUUCACUGUCUUUGCGUAAGGUCCUCUAUAUACCACAAGAAGUGGUAAGCUCUCUAGAAAUGACAUUGGCUCACUACCUGGUAGUGACAUAAAAGCAAGAUGAAGUUGAGUGACCAGGCAAUGGUGACAAUGGGCACACAUACAGAAAAGCAAAGGUUCUAUAGUUCUAAGGGCCAGCCGAUCAUAUUGGGACAACCUCAAGCCUGCUUCUGGAAGGCCUUUCUGUUCUUCAUUCUCUAUGUGUGACAGCUGGGGUGUAACUCAGGGACACAAGGAGCUGAUGCAGCACAAGGAAGCCACAACAGA